Mustela erminea (ermine) is the source of this 343-nucleotide long non-coding RNA. RefSeq lists it as uncharacterized. The transcript is spliced from 5 exons. The record is from RefSeq and is a predicted model, not a curated record. Lineage: Eukaryota; Metazoa; Chordata; Mammalia; Carnivora; Mustelidae.
GACCUGAGUGAAGGCAGAGGCUUAACCUACUGAACCACCCAGAUUUGGAGCUUCAGCAACUUCUUCCAGGGAGGAGGUCCAGUGUGGCUCCUGUUUCAACCUGCAAUCUUGAUUCACAUCCAUAGAUUGGAAUAUUGGUGUACAAGCCAUCCUCAGACACCUCACUAAGGACAGAUGAGGAAACUGAGGCUUGGUGAAGUUACGAAACUUGUCCAAAGUCACACAGCUUGUAAAGGGCACAGCCAAGAUUCAGAGCCAGGUGGAUGAUCUUUUGUAAACAUUUACAGAUUAGAGGAAAUUCUUUUGUUAGUGGGCUCCAUGCCCAGUGGCACCCAGCGUGGUA